This 253-nucleotide ribosomal RNA is filed under the name uncultured bacterium. Its description in RNAcentral is "partial 16S ribosomal RNA". It matches the Rfam family "Bacterial small subunit ribosomal RNA", at positions 524 to 776 of the family's 1533-position model. The record is from RNAcentral.
UACGUAGGGUGCGAGCGUUGUCCGGAAUUACUGGGCGUAAAGAGCUCGUAGGUGGUUUGUCGCGUUGUUCGUGAAAACUCACAGCUUAACUGUGGGUCUGCGGUGGAUACGGGCAGGCUGGAGGCUGGUAGGGGCAAGCGGAAUUCCUGGUGUAGCGGUGAAAUGCGCAGAUAUCAGGAGGAACACCAAUUGCGAAGGCAGCUCGCUGGGACGUUACUGACGCUGAGACGCGAAAGCGUGGGGAGCAAACAGG